UUCGAUGCAACGACGAAGAACCUUACCAGGCCUUGACAUGCAGAGAACUUUCCAGAGAUGGAUUGGUGCCUUCGGGAACUCUGACACAGGUGCUGCAUGGCUGUCGUCGGCUCGUGUCGUGAGAUGUUGGGUUAAGUCCCGUAACGAGCGCAACCCUUGUCCUUAGUUACCAGCACGUUAUGGUGGGCACUCUAAGGAGACUGCCGGUGACAAACCGGAGGAAGGUGGGGAUGACGUCAAGUCAUCAUGGCCCUUACGGCCUGGGCUACACACGUGCUACAAUGGUCGGUACAAAGGGUUGCCAAGCCGCGAGGUGGAGCUAAUCCCAUAAAACCGAUCGUAGUCCAGAUCGCAGUCUGCAACUCGACUGCGUGAAGUCGGAAUCGCUAGUAAUCGUGAAUCAGAAUGUCGCGGUGAAUACGUUCCCGGGCCUU
This 434-nucleotide ribosomal RNA is filed under the name uncultured Pseudomonas sp. RNAcentral's name for it is "bacterial SSU rRNA". It matches the Rfam family "Bacterial small subunit ribosomal RNA", at positions 950 to 1382 of the family's 1533-position model. Lineage: Bacteria; Pseudomonadati; Pseudomonadota; Gammaproteobacteria; Pseudomonadales; Pseudomonadaceae. The record is from RNAcentral.